This 234-nucleotide ribosomal RNA is filed under the name Escherichia coli. Its description in RNAcentral is "partial 16S ribosomal RNA". It matches the Rfam family "Bacterial small subunit ribosomal RNA", at positions 1 to 231 of the family's 1533-position model. The record is from RNAcentral. RNAcentral also lists the same sequence under 1 other name. Lineage: Bacteria; Pseudomonadati; Pseudomonadota; Gammaproteobacteria; Enterobacterales; Enterobacteriaceae.
AAAUUGAAGAGUUUGAUCAUGGCUCAGAUUGAACGCUGGCGGCAGGCCUAACACAUGCAAGUCGAACGGUAACAGGAAGAAGCUUGCUUCUUUGCUGACGAGUGGCGGACGGGUGAGUAAUGUCUGGGAAACUGCCUGAUGGAGGGGGAUAACUACUGGAAACGGUAGCUAAUACCGCAUAACGUCGCAAGACCAAAGAGGGGGACCUUCGGGCCUCUUGCCAUCGGAUGUGCC